Molecule: ribosomal RNA, 357 nt
Filed under: uncultured bacterium
Lineage: Bacteria
Description: partial 16S ribosomal RNA
Rfam family: Bacterial small subunit ribosomal RNA
Source: RNAcentral
CCUACGGGAGGCAGCAGUGAGGAAUAUUGGUCAAUGGGCGAGAGCCUAAACCAGCCAAGUCGCGUGAGGGAAGACGGUCCUAUGGAUUGUAAACCUCUUUUGUCGGGGAGAAAAAAGGCCUCGGGAGGCGACAAGGGAGAGUACCCGAAGAAAAAGCAGCGGCUCACUCCGUGCCAGCAGCCGCGGUAAUACGGAGGAUGCGAGCGUGAGCCGGAUUUAUUGGGUUGAAAGGGUGCGUAGGCGGACUGGAAAGUCAGCGGUAAAAUCCCGAGGCUCAACUUCGGAAUUGCCUCUGAUACUGUUCGGCUAGAGCGUAGUUGCGGUCGGCGGAAUGUCUUUUGUAGCGGUUAAAUGCUU